UACGGAGAGUGCAAGCGUUGUUCGGAAUCACUGGGCUUAAAGGGCGUGCAGGCGGAGCGCAGGGUGUUGGGUGAAAUCCCCGGGCUCAACCCGGGAACUGCCUAGCAAACCGGCGUUCUCGAGGCAGGCAGAGGUGACCGGAACAACUGGUGGAGCGGUGAAAUGCGUAGAUAUCAGUUGGAACGCCGGUGGCGAAAGCGGGUCACUGGGCCUGUCCUGACGAUGAGACGCGAAAGCGUGGGGAGCAAACAGG
This 253-nucleotide ribosomal RNA is filed under the name uncultured bacterium. Its description in RNAcentral is "partial 16S ribosomal RNA". It matches the Rfam family "Bacterial small subunit ribosomal RNA", at positions 524 to 776 of the family's 1533-position model. The record is from RNAcentral.